Cyprinus carpio (common carp) is the source of this 1046-nucleotide long non-coding RNA. RefSeq lists it as uncharacterized. The record is from RefSeq and is a predicted model, not a curated record. The transcript is spliced from 4 exons. NCBI's taxonomy places the organism in Eukaryota, Metazoa, Chordata, Actinopteri, Cypriniformes, Cyprinidae.
AGCAGGACUACUGGCGACGCGGUCACGGAAAAUAACAGGUAACGUUAAGCAUUUCGAGCUUCUUUAUUCCUAUUAAAAGCACUUUUGAACGUUUGUGUUUUACUGUCAACUUUAACUGAAGAUUAACCAGCUUAGUUAUCAUAAUGUGUGUAACUUUAGCUAAGGGUAGCAAGGAGCUAACGCACCAUUACAUCAACGUUAUCAACGGCAAGUGUUAAAUAUGCAGUGUUAUACACAACAGUUCGUAAGUGGUAAAUUAAUAAAUAUUUUUGGUGUUUAUCACAGCCAGACACAGACAAACGAGUCCCGCAAAGUGUAUUUUUAAGCUUAUGUUAGAGAGACGGCUGACAGAGCAUCUUCGUCAUCUCUAACCGUCACUCCCGCCACAGAUCUGAAGCGAGUGCAAAGGCAUAGAGGGGCGGUGUGAUGGUAUUGGCAGCAAGAAGGCUGCAAUACUAAUAUGGGCCUGAAAUGAAGAACAAUAUCAGUCAUUCAAGCUAUGAUCCUGGCAGAUCUACUAUCUGAAAAAAGAUUUUUUUCAAGACACACAAGAUGGAGUGUGGAGAGACCGGACAGUUCCCACAGUGCUAGUUUUUCAGCACCCACACCCCACACACAAAUUCAUAUAGAAGUUUUCAAUAAUAAAAAGUUUAUAUGAUAGUUUAUAUUUAGCUAUGAAGUUAUAGUUCAUUGUCAUAAAUAUUAAACUAAAUAUUAAAGUCCCCCCUGUAGUGAAAAUCAAGUUUUUAUGCUGUUUAUUUGUCUUUGUGGUUUUAAAUAUUGCUACAUUACAAUCCAAUAACCAAUCACAUUAAAGAAUCAAUUCCUAUCAUUAGAAUGCAAAAUAUACCAAUACCAGCACAAAACUAAAAAUACAUUAUAGCAAAAAAAACAUUAAGCUGUGGUUUAAUGUGAAUUUAGAUACAAUAUUUGACUACGGGAAACUUAAUUUUUUUUUACAUGAUAUGCAAUUUUCACCAGUCUGUUCAAUGUAUUAAUGAGAUUUUUGAAAGUGAUUAUCUUUAAUAAUUCAGAUACCUGUUGAA